GAUGAACGCUGGCGGCGUGCUUAACACAUGCAAGUCGAACGGAAAGGCCACAGCUUGCUGUCGUACUCGAGUGGCGAACGUGUGAGUAACAAGUCGUGGCUCUGCCCUUUACUUCAGGAUCGGCUUGGGAAACUGGUUCUAAUACCGGCUAGGAAUCACAUGUGGGUGUGUGGUUGGGAUGCUUUUGCGGUAUGGGAUGGGCUCGCGGCCUAUCAGCUUGUUGGUGGGGUAAUGGCCUACCAAGGCGUCGACGGGUAGCCGGCCUGAGAGGGUGUACGGCCACAUUGGGACUGAGAUACGGCCCAGACUCCUACGGGAGGCAGCAGUGGGGAAUAUUGCACAAUGGGCGCAAGCCUGAUGCAGCGACGCCGCGUGGGGGAUGACGGCCUUCGGGUUGUAAACUCCUUUCGGCAGGGACGAAGCGAAAGUGACGGUACCUGGAUAAGAAGCACCGGCUAACUACGUG
RNAcentral lists this ribosomal RNA (466 nucleotides) under uncultured bacterium. RNAcentral describes it as "partial 16S ribosomal RNA". It matches the Rfam family "Bacterial small subunit ribosomal RNA", at positions 28 to 507 of the family's 1533-position model. The record is from RNAcentral.